RNAcentral lists this ribosomal RNA (301 nucleotides) under uncultured bacterium. Its description in RNAcentral is "partial 16S ribosomal RNA". It matches the Rfam family "Bacterial small subunit ribosomal RNA", at positions 509 to 807 of the family's 1533-position model. The record is from RNAcentral.
CAGUAGCCGCGGUAAUACGUAGGGUGCAAGCGUUAAUCGGAAUUACUGGGCGUAAAGCGUGCGCAGGCGGCUUGUUAAGACAGAUGUGAAAUCCCCGGGCUCAACCUGGGAAUUGCAUUUGUGACUGGCAGGCUAGAGUAUGGGAGAGGGGGGUGGAAUUCCGGGUGUAGCAGUGAAAUGCGUAGAUAUGCGGAGGAACACCGAUGGCGAAGGCAGCCCCCUGGGCCAAUACUGACGCUCAUGCACGAAAGCGUGGGGAGCAAACAGGAUUAGAUACCCCUGUAGUCCCUGUCUCUUAUAC